RNAcentral lists this ribosomal RNA (733 nucleotides) under Bryonora curvescens. RNAcentral's name for it is "partial small subunit ribosomal RNA". It matches the Rfam family "Bacterial small subunit ribosomal RNA", at positions 398 to 1123 of the family's 1533-position model. The record is from RNAcentral. Lineage: Eukaryota; Fungi; Ascomycota; Lecanoromycetes; Lecanorales; Lecanoraceae.
CACUUAGUUGAUGCAAGAUCGACUCUGUUGAAUAAAAUUCUAGGUAGAAUUAUGAUAAUGACAUUGUCUGCCUAUGUGUCUUGACCAAAUUACGUGCCAGCAGUCGCGGUAAUACGUAGAAGACUAGUGUUAUUCAUCUUUAAUAGGUUUAAAGGGUACCUAGACGGUAAAUCAAGCCUGCAAAGGGACUAAUCUACUAGAGUUACUUGUGAGGGGGUAUUAAAGUACUAGUGGUGUAGAGAUAAAAUUCGUUGAUACCUUUUUUUCUAAAAAAAACUAUGGCACAGGUAUAGGUGAAAGCAUCCCCUUAUGUGAUAACUGACGUUGAAGGACGAAGGCUUUGUGUCGCGAACAGGAUUAGAUACCCCAGUAGUCAAAGCAGAAAAUGAUGAAUGUCAUAUAUUAGACAUCUGAUAGUUUAUUAUAUAAAUGAAAGUGUAAGCAUUCCACCUCAAGAGUAAUUUGGCAACAUUGGAACUGAAAUCAUUAGACCGUUUCUGAAACCAGUAGUGAAGUAUGUUGUUUAAUUUGAUAAUCCGCAAAAAACCUUACCACAAUUUGAAUAUUUAUAUUUAUUUUUAUUUUUAGGUUUUAAUAAUCUUUUUAUAGAUAAAAAAAACAGAAAGGUAGGAAAAAUAUUUUUACAAGCGUUGCACGGCUGUCUUCAGUUAAUGUCGUGAGACUCUGGUUAGCUCCAUUAAAUUAACGUAAACCCUUACUUUAUUUUUAUAUA